UGCGGGAUGGAGCAGUCUGGUAGCUCGUCGGGCUCAUAACCCGAAGGUCGUUGGUUCAAAUCCAGCUCCCGCUG
Molecule: transfer RNA, 74 nt
Filed under: Acinetobacter baumannii
Lineage: Bacteria; Pseudomonadati; Pseudomonadota; Gammaproteobacteria; Moraxellales; Moraxellaceae
Description: tRNA-Met
Rfam family: tRNA
About the family: Transfer RNA (tRNA) molecules are approximately 80 nucleotides in length. Their secondary structure includes four short double-helical elements and three loops (D, anti-codon, and T loops). Further hydrogen bonds mediate the characteristic L-shaped molecular structure. tRNAs have two regions of fundamental functional importance: the anti-codon, which is responsible for specific mRNA codon recognition, and the 3' end, to which the tRNAs corresponding amino acid is attached (by aminoacyl-tRNA synthetases). tRNAs cope with the degeneracy of the genetic code in two manners: having more than one tRNA (with a specific anti-codon) for a particular amino acid; and 'wobble' base-pairing, i.e. permitting non-standard base-pairing at the 3rd anti-codon position.
Source: RNAcentral